Drosophila innubila is the source of this 750-nucleotide long non-coding RNA. RefSeq lists it as uncharacterized. The transcript is spliced from 2 exons. Lineage: Eukaryota; Metazoa; Arthropoda; Insecta; Diptera; Drosophilidae. The record is from RefSeq and is a predicted model, not a curated record.
UUUUAAACCGAAUUAUAAGCACAACAUUUGAUUACAUUUGCCGAUGACUAUAUAAGACCUCUUUUAAUAGAUUAUAGAUCAUUCUCUAGUUCAGCAACGUGCUGAUUUAGACAGCGUGCUUUUCGAGUCUGUUGAAACUUUGCUAAAAGUGAUCCCAAAUUGAUAACAGCUGAAACAGAAGCACAGAAUUUGAUUACACUUAUUGUACGCUUCCAGAAUCGCGUAUAGAGUACUCCAAAUCUGUUGUAAAGUAUCAUGUUCGUUCUAGUUUGCUCUGCACUGAGCUCGUUUCUCAAUGAAGCAGAACGAAAUUUGCUUUGGCUCAGUUUGUGCGUGGCAAAUUAAUUGAGCAAAAGUUCACUAAAGUUUACAUAACUGCAAUAGAAACCGCUAUUACAACAGCAACAGCAACAACUUGUUAAACCAGUGAAAAGCAGCUGCAGCACUCAGCACUUUUCAUCAUUUUUAUGGCCAACAUUGCAGCUUCUUGGCAACAUGUUGACAACAACGUCGCGCCCUCAAAGCCAAACAAAAGUCUCUACGGGCAACGCCAAAGUUGACCAAUGCCCGAGUCUAGUCACAGCAGCAACAACAACAGCAACAACAACACAACAACAACAACAACAACAACAAUCACAUACAAUGAUAUCCAUUGACGCUGCUCUUAGGGCCCAACAAAGUCCAGCUAAGAGCAGCAGGAAGAGGGAAGCAGGGAAGCAGGGAUGGGGAUAGAACGGAAUCGUUGGUGAA